RNAcentral lists this ribosomal RNA (376 nucleotides) under uncultured bacterium. Its description in RNAcentral is "bacterial SSU rRNA". It matches the Rfam family "Bacterial small subunit ribosomal RNA", at positions 524 to 898 of the family's 1533-position model. The record is from RNAcentral.
UACAGAGGGUGCAAGCGUUAAUCGGAGUUACUGGGCGUAAAGGGCGCGUAGGUGGUUAUACAAGUAAGAUGUGAAAUCCCUGGGCUUAACCUAGGAAUUGCAUUUUAGACUGUAUAGCUGGAGUGCAGUAGAGGGUAGUGGAAUUUCCGGUGUAGCGGUGAAAUGCGUAGAGAUCGGAAGGAACACCAGUGGCGAAGGCGACUACCUGGACUGCAACUGACACUGAGGCGCGAAAGCGUGGGGAGCAAACAGGAUUAGAUACCCUGGUAGUCCACGCUGUAAACGAUGAGAACUAGAUGUUGGUCUGCGCGAGCGGAUUAGUAUCGAAGCAAACGCGAUAAGUUCUCCGCCUGGGGAGUACGGCCGCAAGGUUAAA